GGAAGUAAAAGUCGUAACAAGGUUUCCGUAGGUGAACCUGCGGAAGGAUCAUUAACGAUUGCUCUGCACAUGCAAAAAAUGACAAACAAAAAGUAUGGUUUUUGGCUGGAUUAAACUCCUGACGAGUUCAGGAAGGAUAUGAUAUGCCUCUCUCUCUUUCUCGCAAGCGCGAAGAAAGAAAUGGCCAUCGUGGUCGCUGUGCGUCUCUUCGCUGCGAACGAUGUAAAACAAACAACCUAUGGCCUCUCAUAAAGUAUAAUAUCGUUCGCCAUGGUAUACAGGCCUGGCAUCUGGUACGAGUCUCUCGCAGUCUCAAAACCAACCUUACAACUCUGAGCGGUGGAUCACUUGGCUUGUGGAUGCUAUGAAGACCAUAGCUAAGUGUGAGAAUGGCAGCGAGCCGUCGCUAUAUGCGCUGUCCUCUUCUUAUCACAUGUUGAAUGCACAUUGCGCCCCACCCAGCGGUCGGCUAAACAACCUGCAGACAAAAGCCUGUUUAGUUGGAACAAAGGCGAGUGUGUGGCCCUCGAGCAACGGCGGGGGAGCCAGGAGCACAUUGGCGUGCGGACCAACUACUCGUGAGUAGUCAGGCUGAACCCUAUGGUGGGGCACUCCUAGUCGAGUGUGGUGGAUCGGACUCACAUCUCCUGCUGGAGUUUGAGUUUCUUUGUUGCUGGUGGCAUUUGGGUCGACAUCAGUCGUGCCCGUAAACAACUGCCUUGGCUCGUGCCUCUGUGCGUUUUACCUCCCGCAGGUGCGUACAUUGAAGGCCAUAGCUGGCGAUCACUCUUGCGGCCAGGGCACUACCUUUUGCCAUGCGAUUCACAUGCAUGGCGGUAGGGCGCAAAGGUCCAAAAGGAUAUGGAAAUACGAGAGUGUCGGGUCUCUGAUACUCUAGCCCGUUGCACACAGUGUAUGGAGUGGUGAUAUGGUAUCCCUGCGUAUACGCUUAUCUGGUAAAGGUUCGUCUCUCGUAAUAUUCGAGAUUGACAAGCCUCACCUCUUUUUUCACACACACACACGCACGCACAAAAAGGCAAGCGCACGCGCGCAUACAAAAAUGCUGGCUGGCUGGAUGAUGAUGACUGACGAGGACAAGCAAAAAGAAAAGAAACGCCUGACGAGAUCAGGACUGAUUUUCUGAGGACCCCCAGUGUGUGUGAAAAAAGUAACAGAUCGGCCUGCAGUAUCGCUCCACUCUGCUAUAGUACCUGUGUGCCCGUUUGGUAUGAGAGAGACCUGCCUGCUCGUGUUGGUAAUAGCCACCACCUCGACUUAGGAGAGGUUACCCGCUGAACUUAAGCAUAUCAGUAAGCGGAGGAAAAGAAACCAAUCAGGGAUUCCCUUAGUAGGGGCGACCGAAAAGGGAUGAGCCCAGCGCAGAACCUCCCGGGCCACCCGGCCUGCGGCGGAAUGUUGCGUUAAGGGAAAGGUCGUAGUCAAACCCCACAGCCACGCGAGCGCUAAGUAAGUCACGAAUUGGCUAUCCCAACUAACGGCGGGAAAAUCUCCACGGAGGGUGUAAGACCCGUGUGGGCGCGUGUAAAUGCUGUGUGGGCUCGGCCUCUUUUCCCUGAGAGUCGCGUUGCUUGAGCAUGCAGCGCUAAGCAGGUCGUAAACUCGAUCUAAGGCUAAAUAUGUCCACAAGACCGAUAGCGAACAAGUACCGUGAGGGAAAGUUGAAAAGCACUCUGAAGAGAGAGUCAAAAGACCGUGAAACCGCUCAGAGU
RNAcentral lists this ribosomal RNA (1730 nucleotides) under Niphargus dancaui. RNAcentral's name for it is "eukaryotic LSU rRNA". The stretch from base 1266 to 1730 matches the Rfam family "Eukaryotic large subunit ribosomal RNA", at positions 1 to 415 of the family's 3401-position model. Lineage: Eukaryota; Metazoa; Arthropoda; Malacostraca; Amphipoda; Niphargidae. The record is from RNAcentral.